This 396-nucleotide ribosomal RNA is filed under the name uncultured bacterium. RNAcentral's name for it is "bacterial SSU rRNA". It matches the Rfam family "Bacterial small subunit ribosomal RNA", at positions 360 to 773 of the family's 1533-position model. The record is from RNAcentral.
AAUCUUGGACAAUGGGCGCAAGCCUGAUCCAGCCAUGCCGCGUGAGUGAAGAAGGCCUUAGGGUUGUAAAACUCUUUCGCCGGAGAAGAUAAUGACGGUAUCCGGAGAAGAAGCCCCGGCUAACUUCGUGCCAGCAGCCGCGGUAAUACGAAGGGGGCUAGCGUUGUUCGGAAUUACUGGGCGUAAAGCGUACGUAGGCGGAUUUGUAAGUAGGGGGUGAAAUCCCCAGGCUCAACCUGGGAACUGCCUUCUAGACUGCAUGUCUUGAGAUCAGGAGAGGCGAGUGGAAUUCCGAGUGUAGAGGUGAAAUUCGUAGAUAUUCGGAGGAACACCAGUGGCGAAGGCGACUCGCUGGACUGAUACUGACGCUGAGGUACGAAAGCGUGGGGAGCAAAC